This 253-nucleotide ribosomal RNA is filed under the name uncultured bacterium. RNAcentral's name for it is "partial 16S ribosomal RNA". It matches the Rfam family "Bacterial small subunit ribosomal RNA", at positions 524 to 776 of the family's 1533-position model. The record is from RNAcentral.
UACGUAGGUGGCAAGCGUUGUCCGGAUUUAUUGGGUUUAAAGGGUGCGUAGGCGGCCCUGUAAGUCAGUGCUGAAAUAUCCCAGCUUAACUGGGAGGGUGGCAUUGAUACUGCGGGGCUAGAGUACAGAUGAGGUAGGCGGAAUUGACGGUGUAGCGGUGAAAUGCUUAGAUAUCGUCAAGAACACCUAUAGCGAAGGCAGCUUACUAGGCUGCAACUGACGCUGAGGCACGAAAGUGUGGGGAUCAAACAGG